RNAcentral lists this ribosomal RNA (926 nucleotides) under fungal sp. CBS 107.24. RNAcentral's name for it is "LSU rRNA". It matches the Rfam family "Eukaryotic large subunit ribosomal RNA", at positions 38 to 980 of the family's 3401-position model. The record is from RNAcentral. Lineage: Eukaryota; Fungi.
GCAUAUCAAUAAGCGGAGGAAAAGAAACCAACAGGGAUUGCCCUAGUAACGGCGAGUGAAGCGGCAACAGCUCAAAUUUGAAAUCUGGCGUCUUUGGCGUCCGAGUUGUAAUUUGCAGAGGGCGCUUUGGCAUUGGCAGCGGUCCAAGUUCCUUGGAACAGGACGUCACAGAGGGUGAGAAUCCCGUACGUGGUCGCUAGCCUUUACCGUGUAAAGCCCCUUCGACGAGUCGAGUUGUUUGGGAAUGCAGCUCUAAAUGGGAGGUAAAUUUCUUCUAAAGCUAAAUACUGGCCAGAGACCGAUAGCGCACAAGUAGAGUGAUCGAAAGAUGAAAAGCACUUUGGAAAGAGAGUUAAAAAGCACGUGAAAUUGUUGAAAGGGAAGCGCUUGCAGCCAGACUUGCCUGUAGUUGCUCAUCCGGGUUUUUACCCGGUGCACUCUUCUAUAGGCAGGCCAGCAUCAGUUUGGGCGGUUGGAUAAAGGUCUCUGUCAUGUACCUCUCUUCGGGGAGAACUUAUAGGGGAGACGACAUGCAACCAGCCUGGACUGAGGUCCGCGCAUCUGCUAGGAUGCUGGCGUAAUGGCUGUAAGCGGCCCGUCUUGAAACACGGACCAAGGAGUCUAACAUCUAUGCGAGUGUUUGGGUGUCAAGCCCGAGCGCGUAAUGAAAGUGAACGGAGGUGGGAACCUUUCGGGGUGCACCAUCGACCGAUCCUGAUGUCUUCGGAUGGAUUUGAGUAAGAGCAUAGCUGUUGGGACCCGAAAGAUGGUGAACUAUGCUUGAAUAGGGUGAAGCCAGAGGAAACUCUGGUGGAGGCUCGCAGCGGUUCUGACGUGCAAAUCGAUCGUCAAAUUUGGGCAUAGGGGCGAAAGACUAAUCGAACUAUCUUGUAGCUGGUUCCUGCCGAAAUUUCCCCCCCAGGAAA